RNAcentral lists this ribosomal RNA (252 nucleotides) under uncultured bacterium. RNAcentral's name for it is "partial 16S ribosomal RNA". It matches the Rfam family "Bacterial small subunit ribosomal RNA", at positions 525 to 776 of the family's 1533-position model. The record is from RNAcentral.
ACGUAGGGGGCGAGCGUUAUCCGGAAUUAUUGGGCGUAAAGGGUGCGUAGGUGGCCUUACAAGUCUGAGUUGAAAGCCCACGGCUUAACCGUGGAGGGUGCUCGGAAACUGUAAGGCUUGAAUCCAGAAGAGGCAAGUGGAAUUCUAUGUGGAGCGGUGGAAUGCGUAGAUAUAUGGAGGAACACCAGUGGCGAAGGCGGCUUGCUGGUCUGGGAUUGACACUGAGGCACGAAAGCGUGGGGAGCAAACAGG